GGGUUGUGAGGUUAAGCGACUAAGCGUACACGGUGGAUGCCCUGGCAGUCAGAGGCGAUGAAGGGCGUGCUAAUCUGCGAUAAGCGCCGGUAAGGUGAUAUGAACCGUUAUAACCGGCGAUACCCGAAUGGGGAAACCCAGUGUGACUCGUCACACUAUCAUUAACUGAAUCCAUAGGUUAAUGAGGCGAACCGGGGGAACUGAAACAUCUAAGUACCCCGAGGAAAAGAAAUCAACCGAGAUUCCCCCAGUAGCGGCGAGCGAACGGGGAGGAGCCCAGAGCCUGAAUCAGCAUGUGUGUUAGUGGAAGCGUCUGGAAAGGCGCGCGAUACAGGGUGACAGCCCCGUACACAAAAGCGCAUGUGCUGUGAGCUCGAUGAGUAGGGCGGGACACGUGGUAUCCUGUCUGAAUAUGGGGGGACCAUCCUCCAAGGCUAAAUACUCCUGACUGACCGAUAGUGAACCAGUACCGUGAGGGAAAGGCGAAAAGAACCCCGGCGAGGGGAGUGAAAAAGAACCUGAAACCGUGUACGUACAAGCAGUGGGAGCACCCUUCGGGGUGUGACUGCGUACCUUUUGUAUAAUGGGUCAGCGACUUAUAUUCUGUAGCAAGGUUAACCGAAUAGGGGAGCCGGAGGGAAACCGAGUCUUAAUUGGGCGUUAAGUUGCAGGGUAUAGACCCGAAACCCGGUGAUCUAGCCAUGGGCAGGUUGAAGGUUGGGUAACACUAACUGGAGGACCGAACCGACUAAUGUUGAAAAAUUAGCGGAUGACCUGUGGCUGGGGGUGAAAGGCCAAUCAAACCGGGAGAUAGCUGGUUCUCCCCGAAAGCUAUUUAGGUAGCGCCUCGUGAAUUCAUCUCCGGGGGUAGAGCACUGUUUCGGCUAGGGGGCCAUCCCGGCUUACCAACCCGAUGCAAACUGCGAAUACCGGAGAAUGUUAUCACGGGAGACACACGGCGGGUGCUAACGUCCGUCGUGAAGAGGGAAACAACCCAGACCGCCAGCUAAGGUCCCAAAGUCAUGGUUAAGUGGGAAACGAUGUGGGAAGGCCCAGACAGCCAGGAUGUUGGCUUAGAAGCAGCCAUCAUUUAAAGAAAGCGUAAUAGCUCACUGGUCGAGUCGGCCUGCGCGGAAGAUGUAACGGGGCUAAACCAUGCACCGAAGCUGCGGCAGCGACACUGUGUGUUGUUGGGUAGGGGAGCGUUCUGUAAGCCUGUGAAGGUGGCCUGUGAGGGUUGCUGGAGGUAUCAGAAGUGCGAAUGCUGACAUAAGUAACGAUAAAGCGGGUGAAAAGCCCGCUCGCCGGAAGACCAAGGGUUCCUGUCCAACGUUAAUCGGGGCAGGGUGAGUCGACCCCUAAGGCGAGGCCGAAAGGCGUAGUCGAUGGGAAACGGGUUAAUAUUCCCGUACUUGGUGUUACUGCGAAGGGGGGACGGAGAAGGCUAUGUUGGCCGGGCGACGGUUGUCCCGGUUUAAGCGUGUAGGUGUGUGUUCCAGGUAAAUCCGGUUCACUUUAACACUGAGGCGUGACGACGAGGCACUACGGUGCUGAAGCAACAAAUGCCCUGCUUCCAGGAAAAGCCUCUAAGCAUCAGGUAACAUCAAAUCGUACCCCAAACCGACACAGGUGGUCAGGUAGAGAAUACCAAGGCGCUUGAGAGAACUCGGGUGAAGGAACUAGGCAAAAUGGUGCCGUAACUUCGGGAGAAGGCACGCUGACACGUAGGUGAAGUGAUUUACUCAUGGAGCUGAAGUCAGUCGAAGAUACCAGCUGGCUGCAACUGUUUAUUAAAAACACAGCACUGUGCAAACACGAAAGUGGACGUAUACGGUGUGACGCCUGCCCGGUGCCGGAAGGUUAAUUGAUGGGGUCAGCGCAAGCGAAGCUCCUGAUCGAAGCCCCGGUAAACGGCGGCCGUAACUAUAACGGUCCUAAGGUAGCGAAAUUCCUUGUCGGGUAAGUUCCGACCUGCACGAAUGGCGUAAUGAUGGCCAGGCUGUCUCCACCCGAGACUCAGUGAAAUUGAACUCGCUGUGAAGAUGCAGUGUACCCGCGGCAAGACGGAAAGACCCCGUGAACCUUUACUAUAGCUUGACACUGAACAUUGAGCCUUGAUGUGUAGGAUAGGUGGGAGGCUUUGAAGUGUGGACGCCAGUCUGCAUGGAGCCGACCUUGAAAUACCACCCUUUAAUGUUUGAUGUUCUAACGUGGACCCGUAAUCCGGGUUGCGGACAGUGUCUGGUGGGUAGUUUGACUGGGGCGGUCUCCUCCUAAAGAGUAACGGAGGAGCACGAAGGUUGGCUAAUCCUGGUCGGACAUCAGGAGGUUAGUGCAAUGGCAUAAGCCAGCUUGACUGCGAGCGUGACGGCGCGAGCAGGUGCGAAAGCAGGUCAUAGUGAUCCGGUGGUUCUGAAUGGAAGGGCCAUCGCUCAACGGAUAAAAGGUACUCCGGGGAUAACAGGCUGAUACCGCCCAAGAGUUCAUAUCGACGGCGGUGUUUGGCACCUCGAUGUCGGCUCAUCACAUCCUGGGGCUGAAGUAGGUCCCAAGGGUAUGGCUGUUCGCCAUUUAAAGUGGUACGCGAGCUGGGUUUAGAACGUCGUGAGACAGUUCGGUCCCUAUCUGCCGUGGGCGCUGGAGAACUGAGGGGGGCUGCUCCUAGUACGAGAGGACCGGAGUGGACGCAUCACUGGUGUUCGGGUUGUCAUGCCAAUGGCACUGCCCGGUAGCUAAAUGCGGAAGAGAUAAGUGCUGAAAGCAUCUAAGCACGAAACUUGCCCCGAGAUGAGUUCUCCCUGAGACUUAGAGUCUCCUGAAGGAACGUUGAAGACGACGACGUUGAUAGGCCGGGUGUGUAAGCGCAGCGAUGCGUUGAGCUAACCGGUACUAAUGAACCGUGAGGCUUAACCUUACAACGCCGAAG
RNAcentral lists this ribosomal RNA (2926 nucleotides) under Salmonella enterica subsp. enterica serovar Hvittingfoss str. SA20014981. RNAcentral's name for it is "bacterial LSU rRNA". It matches the Rfam family "Bacterial large subunit ribosomal RNA". The record is from RNAcentral. Lineage: Bacteria; Pseudomonadati; Pseudomonadota; Gammaproteobacteria; Enterobacterales; Enterobacteriaceae.